This 1160-nucleotide long non-coding RNA is filed under the name Sus scrofa (pig). RNAcentral's name for it is "lncRNA (ENSSSCG00060024423.1)". Lineage: Eukaryota; Metazoa; Chordata; Mammalia; Artiodactyla; Suidae. The record is from RNAcentral.
UUUUUUUUUUUUUUAUUGUUGUUGUUAGCUGAUUUUUUGAAGGUCUUUUUUUUUUUUUCUAUUCACUUUUUUUUUUUUUUCUUGUCUUCACAAAGUCAGGCCACCAGGCCCCCUCUGGGCUUUUCCAAAAAGGCCUGAAGCUGGUCUUGCAGAGGAAUUGGAGUGGACAUUGGAGGACGGAACCCUGGGCCAUGUAGGGCGCUGGAGAGCCUGAGGCUGAGAGUCCCAGCCACGGCUUAUCAGGAGAAGCCCCUAGGGGCCCAUCUCCUCUGUUGACCACUGAUUGGAGGGGGUCCCCGCUGAAGUGAAGAAAGGCAGCCGCCAAAUCUUGGACACCCUGCAACCUUCCAGCCUCCAGAAGAAUCUCCAAAUUGCAGACCCUCCCGGUCUCUGCAGCUUCUAAUGUAAAAUUUGAGACCCUUGUGCUCAACGAAACCUGAGGGUUCCAGAGCCCAGCACCCCUGGGACGCAGGGCCCCCCUCUGCCAGCUCUGUGAUCUGGGAGCAGUUGCCUGACUGUUUCGUCCCCCCUUUUUCGCCCUCUGUCCAAGGGCCAUGAUGACAAGAUGGAUCUCCGAGGGCCGUGGUGAGGAUUGAACAAGAUCGGCUGUGAGAAGCGUUUUCGGCGCUGUGUCUGGCACGUGGACGAUUCGAGAGAAGUGUCCGCUGUGGGGACGAUGGAGGAGAUUUGGAAUCCGAAAUCCUUAGAAACCGGAAGUUUUCAAAGCAGAAAACGGCAAAGGCCAAGGGCCUCAGAAGCAUCAGGCAGUGGUGUCUCUGAGCGCGAGCAGGUUGGGGCCCCAACGGGCCAUGAGAAGGUUGGGGUCUCAACGGGCCUCAGAGCUUUGUGAGGAUGGGUGCGUCCAUCCUGGGGCCUGGUUAGGAUCUUCCCUAUAGGGUGGCCUCUGAGUCAGAGCCCUCCGGUCCUAAGAUGUCAUGAGGCAAGACUCUUUGCCCCUUGUUCCUUCAGUGAUGUUCAGUGGCUUCUGAGAGCCAGCGAUUCUCAGACUCUUGGAUUCUGUGAAUUGUUGGCAGCGGGGGGAGGUGGGGUUGGGGAGGGACCCCCUGCUUUUUUCCUCCAUGAAGUAACUUCCAUGCCCCUUAGCCUCUGUGAGAAGAUGGGUUGCAACCGUGUCCAGGGCUCCCCAUCCCUGGGUAGUA